CGAGGGUGCUAGCAAGGGCCUGAGUCCCGCCCGGCCUUGGGUCGGGGAAGGCCGCCUUGGGAGCAGCGGCAUCCAAUCUGGGAGCCGAAGAAUUCUGCCUCUGCCUGGCAGUGUGACUUCAGCCAAGUCACUGAACCUCCCUGGGCCUCCCUUUUCUCAUUGGCAAAAGGGAGAUAACAGUACCCGCUUCGCGAGGCUGGGGUGUAGAUAAAUGAGCCAGGCAGCUCACAGAAGUAACCGGCGUAGUGCUUGCUGUGGCCCAGGACCGCGGGAGGCCUCUCUGCGCUUCACUCUGCCGGGCUCCGGCACUGAGGGGCCCGCCAAGCAAGAGAACUUCAUCCUAGGCAGCUGUGGGAUGUGAACCUGAAGAUGCCCCGGAACAACCAGCUGCUGCACUUCGCCUUCCGGGAGGACAAGCAGUGGAAGCUGCAGCAGAUCCAGGAUGCCAGAAACCAUGUGAGCCAAGCCAUUUACCUGCUUACCAGCCGGGACCAGAGCUACCAGUUCAAGACGGGCGCUGAGGUCCUCAAGCUGAUGGACGCAGUGAUGCUGCAGCUGACCAGAGCCCGAAACCGGCUCACCACCCCCGCCACCCUCACCCUCCCCGAGAUCGCCGCCAGCGGCCUCACGCGGAUGUUCGCCCCUGCCCUGCCAUCCGACCUGCUGGUCAACGUCUACAUCAACCUCAACAAGCUCUGCCUCACGGUGUACCAGCUGCAUGCCCUGCAGCCCAACUCCACCAAGAACUUCCGCCCAGCUGGGGGCGCGGUGCUGCAUAGCCCCGGGGCCAUGUUCGAGUGGGGCUCUCAGCGCCUGGAGGUGAGCCACGUGCACAAAGUGGAGUGCGUGAUCCCCUGGCUCAACGACGCCCUGGUCUACUUCACCGUCUCCCU
This 893-nucleotide small RNA is filed under the name Pan troglodytes (chimpanzee). RNAcentral describes it as "processed transcript". Lineage: Eukaryota; Metazoa; Chordata; Mammalia; Primates; Hominidae. The record is from RNAcentral.